Molecule: long non-coding RNA, 488 nt
Organism: Aquila chrysaetos chrysaetos
Lineage: Eukaryota; Metazoa; Chordata; Aves; Accipitriformes; Accipitridae
Exons: 2
Source: RefSeq, a predicted model, not a curated record
UUUUAAAUAGUUGUGGUGUAUUUUAGUAAGAAUAAUAAAUGUCAGAGGUGCAUGUGCACAAGGAGAAUUAUUUAAAAUUUUGUUCUCCCUAAAGACAGAAGAUAAUUGAGUUUAUGUUACUUUGUAUUAAUGUUGGAAUGUAUUUUUUUUGUUUAGAAAAUGCCAGGUGCCAAAGUUGUCCUUUUGGCAGUAGCAACUUUGUAACUCCCAAGUCAUCAGAUCCCGUGAUUUCAUGGUAGCUGACAGUUCAACUUUCGUGAGCAUCAGGCCUUAUAUACUUCAGCAAGAUUAUCAAUGUUAAUUAAAAAAAGAAGGAAAAGAGGGAAAGCUAAAGAUACUUGUCUCAGGAGGAGACUGCAAAAUGGGGAGACACAGAAGGAUUUUCAUUGUGCAGUGAUAGUAGCCUGCCUUUGAGGUUAAUCAGAAGGCACUAUUGCUCAUCCUGUUCCAUUUUUUUGUGAAUUAAAUAAAGCACAGCUAAAGCUCAA